RNAcentral lists this ribosomal RNA (955 nucleotides) under uncultured bacterium. Its description in RNAcentral is "bacterial SSU rRNA". It matches the Rfam family "Bacterial small subunit ribosomal RNA", at positions 413 to 1397 of the family's 1533-position model. The record is from RNAcentral.
GGCCUUCGGGUCGUAAACUGCUUUUAUAAGUGAUGAAUAUGACAGUAGCUUAUGAAUAAGGAUCGGCUAACUACGUGCCAGCAGCCGCGGUCAUACGUAGGAUCCGAGCGUUAUCCGGAGUGACUGGGCGUAAAGAGUUGCGUAGGUGGUUUAAUAAGUGAAUAGUGAAAUCUGGUGGCUCAACCAUUCAGACCGUUAUUCAAACUGUUAAACUCGAGAACAGCAGAGGUAACUGGAAUUUCUUGUGUAGGAGUGAAAUCCGUAGAUAUAAGAAGGAACACCAAUGGCGUAGGCAGGUUACUGGGCUGUUUCUGACACUGAGGCACGAAAGCGUGGGGAGCGAACCGGAUUAGAUACCCGGGUAGUCCACGCCGUAAACUAUGGAUACUAGCUGUUUGGGGUAUCGACCCCCUGAGUAGCGAAGCUAACGCGUUAAGUAUCCCGCCUGUGGAGUACGAUCGCAAGAUUAAAACAUAAAGGAAUUGACGGGGACCCGCACAAGCGGUGGAUCAUGUUCUUUAAUUCGAUGAUAACCGAUAAACCUUACCAGGACUUGACAUCCUUGGGAGCACUACGAAAGUAGAGUGUGCCUUUUGGAACCAAGUGACAGGUGAUGCAUGGCCGUCGUCAGCUCGUGUCGUGAGAUGUUAGGUUAAGUCCUUCAACGAGCGCAACCCUUGUGAAUAGUUGUAUUUUUCUAUUCAAACUGCCCCGGUAACGGGGAGGAAGGAGGGGAUGACGUCAGGUCAGUAUUUCCCUUACGUCCUGGGCUAGAAACGUGAUACAAUGGCUAGUACAAUGCGCCGCGAAGCCGCGAGGUGAAGCAAAUCGCAUCAAAGCUAGUCCCAGUUCGGAUUGGAGGCUGAAACUCGCCUCCAUGAAGUCGGAAUCGCUAGUAAUCGCAGAUCAUCAUGCUGCGGUGAAUACGUUCCCGGGUCUUGCACACACCGCCCGU